AUGAAGCAGGCAGCGAUCUCCCACAAGCUCAAACCCGAGUUGGUCGAGCCACCUCCCGACAGCGAUCUGCAGCAGGACCGUGCCACAAGCAGAAACUCCACCAUAACAAUGGCGUCGCCCCAUGUAUCUCAGAACUGCCGCCGUCACGCCAUCAUCAUUUGCCAGAAACUUCACCGACGCCCGUCGUCACGACCCUGCAUGCAGGUCAAUAGGAGCAUCUCCCCGCACUGGCCUCGACCGCCUCUCAUCGUCUCUGCACUCUUUGCUGCUACAUCAGAGGGAUCCAGUGGUGGAUUGCAGGAGGAAGGUGGGGGACGUGGUGGAGUAGCUGGGCCAGCGGUGGUCCUCCGGGCCGAUGGUGGGGUAGACGACGCGGCGCGCUGGUCCAAACCAUCUGAGAGGGAGCGCGGGGAUCGGUUCAUUGUCCAUCGCGAGCGGACCUGGUAUUCCGCUGGUUUGUACGUUGACCCGGUGCCCAGUGCUGCGCUGCCACCGACACCGCCCUGCUUCCUCCGGACAGAGGAGUGGCCGGACUAG
RNAcentral lists this ribosomal RNA (537 nucleotides) under Triticum aestivum (bread wheat). Its description in RNAcentral is "partial small subunit ribosomal RNA". Lineage: Eukaryota; Viridiplantae; Streptophyta; Magnoliopsida; Poales; Poaceae. The record is from RNAcentral.